AAUUAUUCUUUAAUUGUCCUAUAAAUUAAAAAACCCUAACUAUUAUUCCACACAAUUGUCCGCAUCCUUCUCCAACCUUAAUUUCUCAUCUCUCACAAACUCUCUCAUCUCAACCACCUGCCGCCCCAGCCUCUUUCGGCGACGAGCGAUGCUGGUGACUUCCGCUGGACCUCCGGCGAACAACACCGCCGUCCUCACCUUCCAGAUCACCGGACCCUCAACAUUUCUCACCUCUCCUAUUGCUCCGAUUAGUUAGCGAUAGGGUCGUCGCUCUUGUUGACGCCAACCAGAGCCCUAGGCCCCAAAACCAUACGCCAAAUCGCGGUCCCUGACUUCAAUUUUCUUUGGUGGCGGCGAUGAUAUUCUCUCUCAUCUCUAGAAUCGUCCUAGAAAUCAAAUCCGGCGAAGAGAGACGACAGAGAUGUCGAUUUCGUCCAUCAAUGUCGCCGCUCGUGCCGUACUCUGUGACAGAGCCAACGAAAUCGAAUGGCUGUGAAGACGAGGGGCCAAAGGAAGACGAGGGGCAUAAUCAAAGCCAGAGGAAAUGCGCCAAGUUCAAUGUGAUGAUUUUUCUGAAAAAUCCAAAAAAAUCAUAUAGAUUUAUCACAUUUGAUGAACAUUUUCUUCUUUAUCAUAUUUUUCUUUUCGUAUAUAGAUUUACAAUUGUAUAUAAAUUUGCUUCAAUGAAGUUUGCGGUGGUGGACGGCGGUGGUGGUCGGUGACUCGGCGGCGAUUCCACCGGAGAAGAAGAAGACAUAAAGUUAAUUGCUUAUGAGAUAGCUUUAAAACAAUUUAAAACUUACACUCAACUUUCUACUCUAAUUCUUCUAAAUUCUCGUGCCCAAAUGAAGUGCGUCUUCAUUAUUGGAACGAAUGAAGUACAAAUGAGCCACAAGCUCCCAACCAAACUUAUCUUUGCAUUGCUAACACAUAGUGUCCACUGUCCACCGCAUA
Molecule: long non-coding RNA, 954 nt
Filed under: Salvia miltiorrhiza (redroot sage)
Lineage: Eukaryota; Viridiplantae; Streptophyta; Magnoliopsida; Lamiales; Lamiaceae
Description: long non-coding RNA (SMIL_LNC007960)
Source: RNAcentral